CUCGAGACUUCUAUUUAUCAAAUAGCAUGUCAAAUUAAACUUUAUCUAGUUGGGAUACCCUCUGAAAUACUUCCAUACCACUGAGGUGUGGGGGUGCAUGGUCCUUCUCUAUCUUAUUCCUCUUGAAACUGUCCCACUGCUUACGAAAAGGAUGAUGCUCGAGAAAGAAUUGACGAUGAUAAAUGAACCAGCAUGGCUUAUAUCCAUGCUCAAACUGAAAUGAUUUUGUAUUCUCUAUGUAAUAAGGACAUACAAGCUUUCAAUGAGUGCUCUAUACUGACAGCAUUCCAUAAGCAAAAAAAUCACUAAUGAUCCACAUCAAUACAGCCUUCAUU
Molecule: long non-coding RNA, 335 nt
Filed under: Elaeis guineensis (African oil palm)
Lineage: Eukaryota; Viridiplantae; Streptophyta; Magnoliopsida; Arecales; Arecaceae
Description: long non-coding RNA (EGUI_LNC033298)
Source: RNAcentral